This 400-nucleotide ribosomal RNA is filed under the name uncultured bacterium. RNAcentral describes it as "bacterial SSU rRNA". It matches the Rfam family "Bacterial small subunit ribosomal RNA", at positions 356 to 773 of the family's 1533-position model. The record is from RNAcentral.
GGGGAAUAUUGCACAAUGGGGGAAACCCUGAUGCAGCAACGCCGCGUGAGUGAUGACGGUCUUCGGAUUGUAAAACUCUGUCUUUGGGGACGAUAAUGACGGUACCCAAGGAGGAAGCCACGGCUAACUACGUGCCAGCAGCCGCGGUAAUACGUAGGUGGCAAGCGCUGUCCGGAUUUACUGGGCGUAAAGGGAGCGUAGGCGGAUAUUUAAGUGGGAUGUGAAAUACUCGGGCUUAACCUGGGUGCUGCAUUCCAAACUGGAUAUCUAGAGUGCAGGAGAGGAAAGGAGAAUUCCUAGUGUAGCGGUGAAAUGCGUAGAGAUUAGGAAGAAUACCAGUGGCGAAGGCGGCCACCUGGACAGUAACUGACGCUGAGGCGCGAAAGUGUGGGUAGCAAAC